Molecule: ribosomal RNA, 373 nt
Filed under: uncultured organism
Description: partial 16S ribosomal RNA
Rfam family: Bacterial small subunit ribosomal RNA
Source: RNAcentral
GUAGGGGUGCAAGCGUUAAUCGGAAUUACUGGGCGUAAAGCGUGCGCAGGGCGGUUUUGUAAGUCUGUCGUGAAAGCCCCGGGGCUUAACCUGGGAAUUGCGAUGGAGACUGCAAGGCUUGAAUCUGGCAGAGGGGGGUAGAAUUCCACGUGUAGCAGUGAAAUGCGUAGAGAUGUGGAGGAACACCGAUGGCGAAGGCAGACCCCCUGGGUCAAGAUUGACGCUCACGCACGAAAGCGUGGGGAGCAAACAGGAUUAGAUACCCUGGUAGUCCACGCCCUAAACGAUGUCUACUAGUUGUCGGGUCUUAAUUGACUUGGUAACGCAGCUAACGCGUGAAGUAGACCGCCUGGGGAGUACGGUCGCAAGAUUA